This 559-nucleotide ribosomal RNA is filed under the name Amage sculpta. RNAcentral describes it as "partial 16S ribosomal RNA". It matches the Rfam family "Bacterial large subunit ribosomal RNA", at positions 1810 to 2609 of the family's 2925-position model. The record is from RNAcentral. Lineage: Eukaryota; Metazoa; Annelida; Polychaeta; Terebellida; Ampharetidae.
AAAACAUUGCCUCACGAAAACAAGAAUGAGAGGUCAGUCCUGCCCGGUGACCUGCGGGUUUAACGGCCGCGGUACCCUGACCGUGCAAAGGUAGCGUGAUAAACUGCCCUUUAAUUGUGGGCCUGUACGAACGGAUAAACGAGGGCUUAGCUGUCUCUAGUAUAGAAAUGGAAAUUAAUAUUUAAGUGAAGAAACUUAAAUUUUAUCAAAGGACAAAAAGACCCUAUAGAGCUUCGUUACACAUCUGUUUUUAGUAGAAUUCAUUUAUGUCGAAAAAACUAAAAACAGACAAAAACUUAACUGGGGCGGUUGAAGAAAAAAGAAACUUCUAUUUAAAGACCUUAAAGCAAAAUAAGACAUAACAAGUCAAUAUAUAAGAGUGAGCCUAAAAAAUUAGAUUAAAGGAAAAGCUACCUUAGGGGUAACAGAUUAAUCCUUCUUAAGAGUCCACAUUAACAGAAGGGUUUGACACCUCGAUGUUGGCUUAAGGGAUCCCAAAGGUCAGCAGAAGCCUUUAAUGGUAGGUUUGUUCAACCUUUAAACCCUUACGUGAUCUGAG